RNAcentral lists this ribosomal RNA (253 nucleotides) under uncultured bacterium. RNAcentral describes it as "partial 16S ribosomal RNA". It matches the Rfam family "Bacterial small subunit ribosomal RNA", at positions 524 to 776 of the family's 1533-position model. The record is from RNAcentral.
UACGGAGGGUGCGAGCGUUGUUCGGAAUCACUGGGCGUAAAGCGCGUGUAGGCGGCCUUCUAAGUCCGAUGUGAAAGCCCGGGGCUCACCCCCGGAAGUGCAUCGAAUACUGGGAGACUAGAGUACCGGAGAGGAAGGUGGAAUUCCUGGUGUAGCGGUGAAAUGCGUAGAUAUCAGGAGGAACACCGGUGGCGAAGGCGGCCUUCUGGACGGAUACUGACGCUGAGACGCGAAAGCGUGGGGAGCAAACAGG